Molecule: microRNA, 19 nt
Filed under: Mus musculus (house mouse)
Lineage: Eukaryota; Metazoa; Chordata; Mammalia; Rodentia; Muridae
Description: mmu-miR-5119
Source: miRBase by way of RNAcentral
CAUCUCAUCCUGGGGCUGG